This is a long non-coding RNA of Mya arenaria, 3230 nucleotides long. RefSeq lists it as uncharacterized. The transcript is spliced from 2 exons. The record is from RefSeq and is a predicted model, not a curated record. Lineage: Eukaryota; Metazoa; Mollusca; Bivalvia; Myida; Myidae.
ACUAAUUUAAAAAACGAGGAGACGCCUGUAAUCUUUAUUACAUUUAUAUAUAUAUAUGAACCUCUAUAGCCAACAACCUCAUCAAAAUGUCAUCAACCCAAUGACACCUGUCGAGAUGUUAAAUUGAAUUUUCGUGUCUUGAAAAGAACUAAUUUCUAUAAAAGAGGAGACGCCUUCAAUUCAAAUUAUUUAUGUAUGAAAAAUAACAUCUUAAAUAGAAUCCAUUACCUGUUUUCAAAGGAGUCAUUGAAGACUUUAUUUGCAUUUAAAUUAAAAACGUGAGCAACAUCAGACCCACCUCUUAAGCCAACGUAUAUAAGUCCAGCGCAAUUUACAGCAUUUUCAAAUCGCUUUCGACAACUGUUUGAACUAAAGCUUUUCCAUAACUUUUCGAAAAACUUAUAACAAAGUAACACUUGUAAAGAUUUAUUUUCUUAAGAACAUGGACAAACCGAUUAGAAAACAGUUUGGUUUUAAUAAGAAUGUAACGGUUAAGAAAAAUGGAGAAUACUUAAAUGUAUAUGUGAAUCAUACUGUCUAUGAAAACGGCGAACUGGUAAAGGAGAAAUCCAGAUCCGUAUGGUUGACGUGGAAGGAAACUAUACAGCUGAAAGAAGCGAUCCAAGCUAUAGAAGAAGAAGUGUUGAUGAUCGAAGGGUUCUCUAGCGAUACAACUGGGGAUGCUAAAGGAGUUACACACGUCGCUGUUCAAAAAACAGAUACGACUAGUGCUGCGUCCGCUGCUGCUGCUCAAAAAACAGAUACGGCUAAGACAAGCGUAAAACGUCAUUAUCCCUAUUAGAUGCAACAACUUUAGACUGUAAAUGAUAGAUGAUUGACGAGAGACCAACGCGCUAAACUAUAUUAACUUUAAUAGAAAAUGGAUCAGUGUAUAUGUAACAGUGAAAGAAUAUCUGUUUUGAGACGUUCUGCAUAUAUUUCAACAGCUAGAAAAGCUGUAAAACUGUGUCGUUGUAUUUCGUGUCGAAAAUACUAUAUCGCUAUUCUUACAUGUAUUGAACUUAUCGAUGAUCAAGGACUUGUUGAUGCGGUUAUAUAUUUACCUAUAAGAAAUGCCGAGCAUGGCCGUUCAGUUUUCAGAGAAAUAAUUAGCGCUCCUAUAAACCCUUAAACUUUUACAACAAUAUUUAGAAAACAAAACAAAAACGCCAUCCUUAUUUUUGCCAGCAGUAAUAUCCUUUUACGUAGAUGAUGACACGAGAUGUUGUGUCAUAUGUAUGAAGAGACAAACUACCUAUUUAGUAGAAGAACGUUUGUCUGAUAGAGUAACUGUAAGUAGGAAAUGUAUAGUUUGUGGUAGUAAUUUACACGAUUCUUUUGCUUUGUUAUGAGAUGCUUUAUUGAUAUUGCUGACAUUUUGUGAGCCAAUGAGAAAACAACGACUCUCGUUCCUGGGAGGAGCUAUGCGUGAUAGUAAAUUGAGAGGAGCUUAGCGUUGAAUAAAAUGAAGGUGUUCUCUAAAGAGUAUUCAAAGUUGCGAACGCCAAGAUGAAAGUCAGAAAGAGCGGUGUUAAGAAUAUAUAUUGUUCCACGUGUAAGAAAUGGAUCACGGAUUGUUUCGUUGGUCGUCAUGUGCAAAGUAAGACACAUUUUAUGAAGAAUCAGAAUCAUGAGUUGCAUCCGCGGAAACCAAAACUAAAAUCGGCAAUGGACAGUGGAUCGAUCAGUUCUACACAUGUAAUGAAAAAUGUAAAAGACAAAGUGUCUGACAAGCAACAGGAAGCUACACAUUGCACGGUACAAGGUGAUGCAGUAACGCAUUAUACAAUACAAGGUGAAAAGGUAAUGACAUGGGGAUCUGAAGCGUUUCAAGAACUUCCGCAGAAUGUGCUUGGUCUUUCCGGACUUGAUGAUACGUGGGACUUUGAAAGCACAUUAAUGAACGACGAACAUGCCACUGAAAAUGGUAUCACCACCGACAAUGGUAUCAAUGGAGUUGACGUUCAGCCACGAUCAGUACAAUAUACGACACACAAUGGUUUGAAUCCAUGGACAGAGUUUUCAACUGAAGUGUUAAGUGGUGCGUGUCCAGACGGUUCAGUCGCAUCCACAGAGUUCCCAAUUGACGUGUUAAGUGGCGUGUUUCCAGAGCGCGUAUGUGACGAUCCUCAUCACAAUCAAAUAUCGUACUUCAAAUGUCACCUGUGUAAUCCAACCACCUAUAAAGACUACGAAAGCUGGUAAAAACUUUGAGUAAUUCGAUUUCAUAUACCAAGAUGAAUUCUAGUGAAACUGUACUUUUUGGGAACAGGUUAAAACGAAAUAGUUAUGCGAAGUAUGAGGAUCGUUUAUCUUCCUAUCAAACAUGGCCUCAGCAGAUGAAUCAAGAUAAAUACGCUCUAGCUAAAUCGGGAUUUAUUUAUUCGAAAGAAGGAGAUAUUGUAGAAUGUUUCGCGUGCGGCGUUAAAGUGAGCCAGUGGGCAGUCAAUGACAUUCCCGAUCUUGAACACAAGAAAUGGUCGCCCGAGUGUGCGUAUAUAAAGCUGACUUGUUCUAGAGACACAUACGACGUUGCAGCAUUUGCGAGUGUGAAUUUUGAUUUUUAAAAUUUUAAAAAUUAGUAAAGAAAUAUGGAGCUCAGUCAAGUGUCAUUACUAGAAUCGUAUUUUGACUUUUUCUAUGCUAAAGAAAUUAGCAAAAAUAUGUACCUUGUUUUCAGAAAGAAGUGUUUCGGCUGUCAAAAUGCUUGUUUAUCGCAAAGUGAUCAUACGUGUUUAACUUUAACGGAUAAACAGCAGCUAGAGUUAUAUUUCGAUGACAUUCUCGCUGAAGUGGAUGAAUCCGAUAUUGUAUUGAAAUGGAACGAAGCAACAUCUCUUCUCGACGUGUCUGUUCAAGUGUUGAACAUGUUCAAAUUAAAAGUGUAUUGUAACGAUUGGCGCGAAACUGAUAUGAAAAGUGAGCAGUGGAAAUCUAAAAUGAUACAAAUGACUGUUCAAUUGCUCAUGUUAAAUCACAGAUUCGGUUAACUUUGCAAACUAACUAAAAAAAAAAAAAAUGUUGCAUACUAACUGGCAUUUGCAAAGGUUGAUAAAUGAUGUUAUAUCUUGUUGUAUGUGUACGUUCUUUGAUGCUUAUAUGUGCUCGUUGUUUGAUGAUUUUACUGUAUGUGUCUUGAUCAUUUAUAUGAACUAUGAAUGCUAUGUAUAUAUCUAUAUUUUUCAUUGGUGUUGGGAAAAAAUAUAAUCAAUAAAAGAGUAUAUAGAACA